This is a long non-coding RNA of Daucus carota subsp. sativus, 1679 nucleotides long. RefSeq lists it as uncharacterized. The record is from RefSeq and is a predicted model, not a curated record. The transcript has 3 exons. NCBI's taxonomy places the organism in Eukaryota, Viridiplantae, Streptophyta, Magnoliopsida, Apiales, Apiaceae.
AAGGAUUUAAAGGGCAUUUAUCCUGAAAUAAACCGAGAAACUUGAGAAUUUUGAGAUUUGGCCGUCCCAGUCUGGACUCGAAGCAGCUGCUAAUUUCUCAAUUCUCCAACACAACAAAGCAAUCGGCAAUUCAAACCAAUCUGUUGCGUUCUUCUAUGUUUUGAAGAUUGUUAUCUUGAUUAGAGUAGAGAAAACAAGUAUCACAUGGUUACGUGCUAUCCGUCAACACCGAAGAAGUUGCUUAUGACUUUCGGAAUGUUUCUUGGUGGUGCCUCUAUCUUUGCUGCUGGCGUGCACCUGUCGUAUGUCAAUGUGGCUCCUCAACAAGCUCGAACCAAGGCUCGAAAUGAUUUUGUCAAACAGAGAUUAAAACAGAAAUAUGGCAAGUUAUAGAAGUACGCUGAAUUGUUUACCAUUCCAUAAGGUUAAUUAGAUCCUUUGCAAUACGCAGUGUUGUGCAUCCACCUGUGAAAUCUGAAUACUUGCUCGCUGUACCACUAGGCUGGUAUCUUUCCAGUUUCCGCUUUUGUGCUAAAACAUCUGUUGCUUUUUCGAUUUCACUUCGUCUGUGCUGCAUAUUUGCUUCCCAUGGAAGAUUUCUUCUCCUAUAAGGAUGAAAGUGUUCAUAAUCUUCAUUUGACCUCAUCAUACUUUGUACUGCAACUUCAGUCCUUUUAGCGCUAGUGUAGAGUUCCCAAUAUCCAUAUGGCUAGGGUUGCUACUUGCUCCGCCUCUGAUGCCUAUUCCCAAACUUUAUCAAGCAAUAUAUCAGUAAAGUCCAUCAAUACUUCUUUCUGGCAUUUGCUGUAUCAUGCUCAACCUAUAAUAGAAGCUUCACAAUUAAUUAUAUCUUCUGAAAAGUUGAUUAUUAAGCAUAGCUCUCCAACAAGCUCAAACCAAAGCUUGAAACUAUCUUGUCAAACAGAGUUUAGAACAAUAAUCCAGCAGGUUAUAAAAGUACAUUGAAUUAUUUGAUCACUUGAUUAUUUGUUUGAUGUUUGAAACUUUAUUUAGUGAAUCCAUUUCUACAGAUUUCUUUUUUGUAGUUUAAAGUUUACCAUUGUAUAAGGUUAAUAAGGUCCUUUGCAGUGCUGUGCUUUUACCUCUGAAAUUUGAAUACUUGCUAUUUGCUCUGCCUCUGAUGCCUAUUUAACUUUAUUAUGCAAUGUAUAUUGAUAAAGUUCAUCAAUACUUCUUUCUGGCAUGUGGUGUGUAACGCUUAACCUAUAAUAAUAUAUUUUCCGACAAGUUAAUGAUCAAACUGCACAGCUCUCCAAGUCAAAAAAAAAAAAAAAAAAAAGAGUUACCGAGUAAGUUAUAUUGUCCGACUUAUUCAAUGACAUUGUCUGGGCCACUUGUUUGUUGCUUUAAGAACUUCUGAAUCACAUAUGAGGUCGUGGAUAGCAGCCCCUAAAAUUGGUUGGUACUGAUUAUCUGCUACAGUAUAUUACAGUUUAGCCGAUUUUGUUUUUAUGCACAAUCUAGUAAUUUUGUCAAGAGGCAACUUCGUUGCUCCUCAUUCUUGUAGCCUUGAGCUGUGACCUCACCUUUAUCGUUAUGCAAUGACAAUGUUUGUUCACAAGUGCUGCUCUUCUGAAUAAAGGAGCUAUCUUUUGUAAUUAUCAUUUAAGCAGUGCUUGAUGAAGUCCCUUUUGUUUGUGGAAACAUCAAUUUGUACA